This 913-nucleotide long non-coding RNA is filed under the name Homo sapiens (human). Its description in RNAcentral is "HSALNT0009585". Lineage: Eukaryota; Metazoa; Chordata; Mammalia; Primates; Hominidae. The record is from RNAcentral.
GCCUUCAGAUUUAGAGUGGAAAUAUACUGUCAUCUCUCCUGUGUCUCCAGCUUUCCAUGUGACCAUAGAACCUCUCAGACUCCAUAAUCAUAGAAAACUCCAAGUAUUUUUUGCAAGGAAAAGUUGAUGAUACUGAUGAUGAUGGUGAUGGUGAUGGUGGUACUGAUUAGAGUGCUGAUGGUAGUAGUCCUGUAACUUGAACAAGGUUACAGGACAAGUAGAAUAUGGCAGAGAUGGAAUUUGAACCCAAGCAAUCAAAUUCAAAAGACUAUACUCUAAAGCAAUGGCACUCAGGGAGUGAUCCAUCAGUGCCUGUGCACAACAAGGUCCACAACCUGGCAUUUAGUGGUAGGCCUGGAGCUGCUCUUGGUCAACAGUGUCAGAAGUUGGGAAGAAGAGCUGCAUAUCAAGCAGAAGAGAAUGAGAAGAAACAGGAACCCACUUCUGCAUCUGUCUAUAGCAACAUCUGACUAUAACGACCUUCAAAAGAUAAUGGCUGUUGCUUCAUUUCCAACCCUCCAAAUCUCAAGUAGCCUUGUGAUUACAUUGGGCUUACCCAGAUCCAGAUCAUCUAGGAUAAUCUCUCUACCCAAGAUCUUUAAUGUAAUCACACCUGCAAAGUCCCUUUUGGGAAGAAAGGUUGUAGAGAAGGUACUGUUCCCAUUGAAAUCAGUAACGGCCAUGUGACCUGAUUCGACUCAUGAAAUGUUGAAAAUGUGGCAGAUGUGUAUGGAGAAUGAGAAAAUUCCUGUUAUAAUAGAGAUGACUUAAAUUAUGAGGAUGGUAAAGAAGAGGAAAUGUUUUCUGUCCUUUCAAGACGUCAAAGCUUAAUUGAACAUGUUUUUAAAAAUGAAAAUAAAAAUCUCAGUGCAAAGAAUACAUUUACUUCUCUAGUAGAGACUAUUAAUUGCAG